UAAUUUAUCUUUUAAUUAAGAUUAUUAGAAAUUUAUUUUUUAGUUAUGAUUGGGGUGAUUUUAAAAGAUUAUUAAUCUUUAAAAUUUUUUAAUAAAAAAGUUCCAUUAGUAGUGAUUUUUUGAUAAAAAUACUCUAGGGAUAACAGCGUUAUUAUUUUGGAUAGUUCAUAUAGAUAAAAUAGUUUGCGACCUCGAUGUUGGAUUAGGAUUCUUUUAUGAUGAAGAAGUUAUAAGGGAGAAGUUUGCUCAACUUUUAAAGUCCUACUUGAUCUGAGUUCAGACCGGG
Molecule: ribosomal RNA, 286 nt
Filed under: Ornithodoros coriaceus
Lineage: Eukaryota; Metazoa; Arthropoda; Arachnida; Ixodida; Argasidae
Description: partial 16S ribosomal RNA
Rfam family: Bacterial large subunit ribosomal RNA (bases 139-286)
Source: RNAcentral